This 69-nucleotide transfer RNA is filed under the name Ictidomys tridecemlineatus (thirteen-lined ground squirrel). RNAcentral describes it as "Spermophilus tridecemlineatus (thirteen-lined ground squirrel) tRNA". It matches the Rfam family "tRNA". Rfam says of the family: Transfer RNA (tRNA) molecules are approximately 80 nucleotides in length. Their secondary structure includes four short double-helical elements and three loops (D, anti-codon, and T loops). Lineage: Eukaryota; Metazoa; Chordata; Mammalia; Rodentia; Sciuridae. The record is from Rfam by way of RNAcentral.
GGGGCUAUAGCUCAGUGGUAGAGCACCCGCCUCACACGUGUGACGCACUGGCUUUGAUCCUCAGCCCCA